RNAcentral lists this long non-coding RNA (302 nucleotides) under Sorghum bicolor (sorghum). RNAcentral's name for it is "long non-coding RNA (SBIC_LNC018362)". The record is from RNAcentral. Lineage: Eukaryota; Viridiplantae; Streptophyta; Magnoliopsida; Poales; Poaceae.
ACACUAGAGGAGGUAUACCAGUAUAUGCAUAUAUUGAUAUAUGGAUGCUGACAAGAAGUAGUAUUAAGGACAAUGUGAGCAAAACAUUCUAAUAAUGCUACUGCAAGAAUUAUUGUACAAUGUCUAGCAUCCGCUCGCAUGUUUUUUUUUUCUUAUUAUGUCUGCAAUAGUUUCAAACCCGCCUGAAUCGAACAGGAACCUUGGCAUCUUGGCGCGGGCCAAUGAAUUCAUUCAGGCAGUAGCAAGCCGGGAGAUGCAAGGAAACUUUUUGUCAAGCAUUUAUAUGUGUUUCUUUUUUGGUC